AACGCUAGCUACAGGCUUAACACAUGCAAGUCGAGGGGCAGCAUUAGGUAGCAAUACUGAGAUGGCGACCGGCGCGCGGGUGCGUAACGCGUAUCCAACUUUCCCGUUACUCUGGGAUAGCCUUCCGAAAGGGAGAUUAAUACCGGAUGGUGUUGAAAUUUCGCAUGUUAUUUCAACUAAAGAUUUAUCGGUAACGGAUAGGGAUGCGUGACAUUAGGUAGAUGGCGGGGUAACGGCCCACCAUGCCCACGAUGUCUAGGGGUUCUGAGAGGAAGGUCCCCCACACUGGAACUGAGACACGGUCCAGACUCCUACGGGAGGCAGCAGUGAGGAAUAUUGGUCAAUGGUCGGAAGACUGAACCAGCCAAGUAGCGUGAAGGAUGAAGGUUCUAUGGAUUGUAAACUUCUUUUAUACGGGAAUAAAGCCCGCUACGUGUAGCGGUUUGUAUGUACCGUAUGAAUAAGCAUCGGCUAACUCCGUGCCAGCAGCCGCGGUAAUACGGAGGAUGCGAGCGUUAUCCGGAUUUAUUGGGUUUAAAGGGAGCGUAGACGGGAUGUUAAGUCAGUUGUGAAAGGCUGCGGCUCAACCGCAGCACUGCAGUUGAUACUGGCGUCCUUGAGUGCGGUUGAGGUGUGUGGAAUUCGUGGUGUAGCGGUGAAAUGCUUAGAUAUCACGAAGAACUCCGAUUG
This 690-nucleotide ribosomal RNA is filed under the name uncultured Bacteroides sp. RNAcentral's name for it is "bacterial SSU rRNA". It matches the Rfam family "Bacterial small subunit ribosomal RNA", at positions 32 to 715 of the family's 1533-position model. Lineage: Bacteria; Pseudomonadati; Bacteroidota; Bacteroidia; Bacteroidales; Bacteroidaceae. The record is from RNAcentral.